GGGCUUGUGGUUUAGUGGUAUAAUACUCCCUUAGCAUCUCUUCAAGAGUUACGAAUGGGAGUGGUCCGGGGUUCGAGUAAGCAAUCCUG
Non-coding RNA from Paraphoma chrysanthemicola, 89 nucleotides. The record is from the annotation of a GenBank genome assembly. Lineage: Eukaryota; Fungi; Ascomycota; Dothideomycetes; Pleosporales; Phaeosphaeriaceae.